This 301-nucleotide ribosomal RNA is filed under the name uncultured bacterium. RNAcentral describes it as "partial 16S ribosomal RNA". It matches the Rfam family "Bacterial small subunit ribosomal RNA", at positions 509 to 807 of the family's 1533-position model. The record is from RNAcentral.
CAGUAGCCGCGGUAAUACGUAGGUGGCAAGCGUUAUCCGGAAUUAUUGGGCGUAAAGCGCGCGUAGGCGGUUUUUCAAGUCUGAUGUGAAAGCCCACGGCUCAACCGUGGAGGGUCAUUGGAAACUGGGAAACUUGAGUGCAGAAGAGGAGAGUGGAAUUCCACGUGUAGCGGUGAAAUGCGUAGAGAUGUGGAGGUACACCAGUGGCGAAGGCGACUCUCUGGUCUGUAACUGACGCUGAGGAGCGAAAGCGUGGGGAGCGAACAGGAUUAGAGACCCCAGUAGUCCCUGUCUCUUAUAC